RNAcentral lists this ribosomal RNA (253 nucleotides) under uncultured bacterium. RNAcentral describes it as "partial 16S ribosomal RNA". It matches the Rfam family "Bacterial small subunit ribosomal RNA", at positions 524 to 776 of the family's 1533-position model. The record is from RNAcentral.
CACGUAGGGCGCAAGCGUUGUCCGGAAUUAUUGGGCGUAAAGAGCUCGUAGGCGGUCUGUUGCGUCCGCUGUGAAAACUCGGGGCUUAACCCCGAGCCUGCAGUGGAUACGGGCAGACUAGAGGUAGGUAGGGGAGAAUGGAAUUCCCGGUGUAGCGGUGAAAUGCGCAGAUAUCGGGAGGAACACCGGUGGCGAAGGCGGCUCUCUGGACGGUGACUGACGCUGAGACGCGAAAGCGUGGGGAGCAAACAGG